CCUACGGGUGGCAGCAGUGGGGAAUAUUGGGCAAUGGGCGCAAGCCUGACCCAGCAACGCCGCGUGAAGGAAGAAGACUCUCCGGUUGUAAACUUCUUUUCUCAGGGACGAAGCAAGCGACGGUACCUGAGGAACAAGCCACCGCUAACUACGCGCCAGCCGCCGCGGUAAUGCGUCGGUGGCAAUCGUUAUCCGGAUUUACUGGGUGUAAAGGGCUUGUAGGCGGGACUGGAAGUCAGAUGGGAAAACCAUGGGCUCAACCUAUGGCCUGCAUUUGAAACUGUAGUUCUUGAGUACUGGAGAAGCAGACGGAAUUCGUGGUGUAGCGGUGAAAUGCGUAGAUAUUAGGAGGAACGCCGGUGGCGAAGGCGGUCUGCUGGACCGCAACUGACGCUGAGGCGCGAAAGCGUGGGGAGCGAACAGGAUUAGAUACCCGAGUAGUC
This 443-nucleotide ribosomal RNA is filed under the name uncultured bacterium. RNAcentral describes it as "partial 16S ribosomal RNA". It matches the Rfam family "Bacterial small subunit ribosomal RNA", at positions 338 to 795 of the family's 1533-position model. The record is from RNAcentral.